GAUGAACGCUGGCGGCGUGCCUAAUACAUGCAAGUCGAGCGAACAGAUGAGGAGCUUGCUCCUCUGACGUUAGCGGCGGACGGGUGAGUAACACGUGGAUAACCUACCUAUAAGACUGGGAUAACUUCGGGAAACCGGAGCUAAUACCGGAUAAUAUAUUGAACCGCAUGGUUCAAUAGUGAAAGACGGUUUUGCUGUCACUUAUAGAUGGAUCCGCGCCGCAUUAGCUAGUUGGUAAGGUAACGGCUUACCAAGGCAACGAUGCGUAGCCGACCUGAGAGGGGGGAUCGGCCAACCGGAAACUGAGAAACGUCCCAAACCCCAAGGGGGGGCAGAAGGAGGAAACCUUCCGCAAUGGGCGAAAGCUUGAGGGAGCAACGCCGGGGGAGUGAGGAAGGUCUGCGGAUCGUAAAACUCUUUUAUUAGGGAAAAAAAAAUGUGUAAGUAACGAUGCCCGUCUUGACGGUACCAAAUCAGAAAGCCACGGCUAACUACGU
Molecule: ribosomal RNA, 497 nt
Filed under: uncultured bacterium
Lineage: Bacteria
Description: partial 16S ribosomal RNA
Rfam family: Bacterial small subunit ribosomal RNA
Source: RNAcentral